AUUGAACGCUGGCGGCAGGCCUAACACAUGCAAGUCGAGCGAGAGGCGGACGGGCGAGUAAUGUAUGAGCACCUGCCUGAUCGACGCGGCAGACGACUGGAAACGUUGGCUAAUACCGCAUACUAUCGGAUGGACUCAUAUGGGAUUAGCUAGUAGGUGGGGUAAAGGCUCACGUAGGCGACGCUCGCUAGCUGGUCUGAGAGGAUGAUCAGCCACACUGGGACUGAGACACGGCCCAGACUCCUACGGGAGGCAGCAGUGGGGAAUAUUGCGCAAUGGGCGCAAGCCUGAUGCAGCCAUGCCGCGUGAAUGAAGAAGGCCUUAGGGUUGUAAAGUACUUUCAGCGGGGAGGCGUUACCCGCAGAAGAAGCACCGGCUAACUCCGUGCCAGCAGCCGCGGUAAUUC
This 406-nucleotide ribosomal RNA is filed under the name uncultured bacterium. RNAcentral's name for it is "partial 16S ribosomal RNA". It matches the Rfam family "Bacterial small subunit ribosomal RNA", at positions 30 to 526 of the family's 1533-position model. The record is from RNAcentral.